CCAGCAGACUGAAAACGUACUCCAGUGAGUGCCAAAGGACAAACCCCUGAUGCACACAGGCAGAAAGGAGAGAUGCUCCCAAUGUGCAGACAACUGAAUAUUGAAAAGAAUGCAAAACAAGCUGAAACAGUGGAACUUGUAGCUCAUCCUUUGGUGGCUGUCAGCACCAGAAAGGAUGGAUGAAGAAAUGAAACAUGGCCAUCUUCAGCCACUCACCUGUGUACUGGGCUUAGAGAAGUUUCAGUGUAAUAUAACACAAAUAUUUUGUUUCCCUGUGGACUGGUGGCAGCGGUGGAGGAGGUUGCAGAGGAAGGGGUAUGUUUGCUGUAGGCCUUUUGCAGGUGGAAGAAUUAGAUUUGAAAUAAAGGAAAGAAAAUUUAUCUUCACAUCUUCAGGAA
Long non-coding RNA from Chiroxiphia lanceolata (lance-tailed manakin), 398 nucleotides. RefSeq lists it as uncharacterized. The record is from RefSeq and is a predicted model, not a curated record. The transcript is spliced from 4 exons. Lineage: Eukaryota; Metazoa; Chordata; Aves; Passeriformes; Pipridae.